AUGACCUACAGUAACGCCAACAAAGAGUGCUACCUGUGGCUCUCUACAGAGGCAUCCCGUAAUCCAGUAGCUUGGACAGCAAGGGCAUAUGAAGUUGUUUACAUGUCGUGUUCUGCUCUGCUCAAGCCUCCAGCAAGGCGCAUUGUGAGGAAACAGUGGAAAAUUUUCUUGCUGGGGUACUAUUUUGUUCACCCCUGGUCUGUCAUACUAAGCCCUAUGCAGUUUACACACUACACACCUGGCAGCAUCCCAUCCCCUGCUGCCGUCACUGGUACUACUUUGCAGAUCUAUUCAAUUAAGAUAAAGAAUCUGAAAGGCUUGAAUUGGCCAUUCAAAGUGUAUGGCAAGGUUGCUGCUCGAGACACUGUGGACCGCAACCGCAACAUUCUGUUCUCUCGGCCAAAGUUUGAUUAUCAAGAACUAAAUGGAGAAAAUGAUUCCUUAUGCUUGAUUGGCCCGUCUCGUGCGAUUGUUAGUUUUGACCAUGUCGACUUUGAAGUUGAACUCAAAGUAAUCGAUGAAGCUGAGUCGCAAAGAUUGAUUAUUUGUACAGGCCGUUACGGCGGUACAGAUGAUUUUAACACUUCCUCAGCCAGUGUGACUUAUGGUGGUGAUGGACCUACCUUCUUGCUCUCCAACCAUCGUUGUACAACUGAGUUAACACUUGAGCAGCUUCAUAAAUCGCACCAAGCUACUAUUGUGGGCAUACGAGUAACCAAAGGGGAUUGGCCUUUCAAACAUGGAUGUCGGGUCAUUUGCUUUUGGGCUCCUUCUUCUGCUGUAGAUGUGAUCGAUACCACUUGCAGGUCAAUUGUCUUGCUUGAUGAUCGUGACAAAGAAAUACAUUCAGGUUCAGGCAAGUAUCUUCACUUGUCGAGACGAGUGGUUUCAGUGAAAUCAUAUGGGAUUCUGAGAGUGACCAUAGAAGCAUACGGAGGGCCCGGUCAGUGUAUUGCACAAAAGGGGCAUGUUGACUUUCCUGUUAAGCAGUGCCAAACAACCGCGUUUGAUUGUGUACUUGGGGACACCACAUUGGAGGUGGUUGUAGCUUGGUCGUUGCUUAUCAAGGACAAAAUGGAUCUCCAGGUCCAAGCGGGGCAAUUUAAUGGAGAAAAGGCCGAGCCACGCGGUCCCGUCCUGUCCCGUCCGGAUGAACGCGGACCCCGGCCGGCCGGCGCACGCACGAAGAGGAAGUGCGCCAUGGCGGCGACGUGGACGGAUACCAUCACAACCAACCCGUUCACGUUGAGGAAGCGGUACACGUGCGCGAGCCCCGACUCCGGACGCACGCUAGCAGCUGCUUCCAGCAAUGAUGUUAUCCUGACCAAAUGUACACCUCAAAGUGCAGCAGCUGCUUCCUAA
This 1362-nucleotide ribosomal RNA is filed under the name Triticum aestivum (bread wheat). RNAcentral describes it as "partial small subunit ribosomal RNA". The record is from RNAcentral. Lineage: Eukaryota; Viridiplantae; Streptophyta; Magnoliopsida; Poales; Poaceae.